UCCCCUAGUAACUGCGAGUGAAGCGGGAAAAGCUCAAAUUUAAAAUCUGGCGGCUCCGCCGUCCGAGUUGUAAUUUAGAGAAGCGACUUCCGCGCCGGCCUGUGCACAAGUCUCCUGGAACGGAGCGUCGUAGAGGGUGAGAAUCCCGUCUUUGGCACAGACUCCCGGUGCUUCUGUGAUGCGCUCUCGAAGAGUCGAGUUGUUUGGGAAUGCAGCUCAAAAUGGGUGGUGAACUCCAUCUAAAGCUAAAUAUUGGCGAGAGACCGAUAGCGAACAAGUACCGUGAGGGAAAGAUGAAAAGCMCUUUGGAAAGAGAGUGAAACAGUACGUGAAAUUGUUGAAAGGGAAACGCUUGAAGUCAGUCGCGUCUACCGAGACUCAGCCUUGCCUUGGCUUGGUGUACUUCUCGGCCCGMCGGGUCAGCAUCAAUUUUGCCCCUCGGAUAAUGGCAAGGGAAAGGUGGCACCUUUWCGGGUGUGUUAUAGUCUCCUGUCGCAUGCGAGGGGUGGGAUUGAGGAACUCAGCACGCMCCUCGGYGUCGGGGCUUCGGCCCACGUAACGUGCUUAGGAUGUUGGCGUAAUGGCUUUAAACGACCCGUCUUGAAACACGGACCAAGGAGUCCAACGCGCCCGCGAGUGUUCGGGUGGAAAACCCGUGCGCGCAAUGAAAGUAAAAGUUGGGACCUCUGUCGUGGAGGGCACCGACGCCCGGWCCAGACCUUCUGUGACGGAUCUGCGGUAGAGCGUGCGUGUUGGGACCCGAAAGAUGGUGAACUAUGCCUGAAUAGGGUGAAGCCAGAGGAAACUCUGGUGGAGGCUCGUAGCGAUUCUGACGUGCAAAUCGAUCGUCAAAUUUGGGUAUAGGGGCG
Molecule: ribosomal RNA, 869 nt
Filed under: Lactarius silviae
Lineage: Eukaryota; Fungi; Basidiomycota; Agaricomycetes; Russulales; Russulaceae
Description: eukaryotic LSU rRNA
Rfam family: Eukaryotic large subunit ribosomal RNA
Source: RNAcentral